RNAcentral lists this non-coding RNA (106 nucleotides) under Ruminiclostridium hungatei. Its description in RNAcentral is "Clostridium hungatei SAM-I sequence". It matches the Rfam family "SAM riboswitch aptamer (S box leader)". From Rfam's summary of the family: The SAM riboswitch is found upstream of a number of genes which code for proteins involved in methionine or cysteine biosynthesis in Gram-positive bacteria. The SAM riboswitch acts at the level of transcription termination control. The record is from Rfam by way of RNAcentral. Lineage: Bacteria; Bacillati; Bacillota; Clostridia; Eubacteriales; Oscillospiraceae.
UCCUUAUCAAGAGAGGUGGAGGGUAUGGGCCCUAUGAAACCCGGCAACCAGCAUUUGAUUGUGCAUGGUGCCAAUUCCUACAGGUAUUUUACCUGAAAGAUGAGGG